CAGAUGGGCGUGGCUGUCGGAGGAGUGCUUUACUGAGCUUCAGGUCCUGAAAGGGUUUACGUGCUUAUGCAGGGACCUCCAGUGCCUUUUCAACGGCUCUGUGGACCUCGGACCUCGUGUUGUGUAAAUGACACACUCUUCACUAGCCAGGAUAGUUACAAAGCUUUCUCGUUAUGAAUGAGAGAUACAUGUUUUUAUUGAACAUUUGAACCUAAUACAGCGCAAACUCUUUUAGAGCCCAGAGUUUUACACUAACUGAAAAAAUUGUGUCCCGCCGGGAGGUUGAGGAGGAUGAUCACACACACACCUGCAGCUGAUCAGCUUUGUCUGGGAGAGCUACUUAGAAGAGUGGCUGAGUUCUCGUCAACGCUAGAUCAUUGCGCGGCUGCCUCUGUGAUUUUCCAGGAGGAUUGGGCAGUGAGCACUAGGUACAUGGACACGGACACUGGGAAAGAUACGGCGC
This is a long non-coding RNA of Oreochromis aureus, 463 nucleotides long. The record is from Ensembl. Lineage: Eukaryota; Metazoa; Chordata; Actinopteri; Cichliformes; Cichlidae.